Molecule: non-coding RNA, 32 nt
Filed under: Rattus norvegicus (Norway rat)
Lineage: Eukaryota; Metazoa; Chordata; Mammalia; Rodentia; Muridae
Source: RNAcentral
AAGAGAUGGAUUUCAAGAGCAUGCCUCUGUGU